UAUUUUUUUUUUUUUUUUAUCGAAAAUGGAGUAUCUGGUUAGUCAGUGACCUUUCACUAUGGAAAUACUGUCUGUCUGUAACAGGAAAAAGCGCCUUCUCCCAAAAAUCUCGAUCAAACACAAUGAAAAUGAGGAUUUAGUAACUAAUUAGGAAUCAGUUACAAAAAUAGGAUUUUAAAAAUUGCUUAACAUGUAAACGGUUUCUGUUUACAGCAGAUUCUGUGAAGUCAGUAUCUAAAAUUGACCUACUUUUAUUCAUAGGUCGUUCAGUCUCUUGCCUAGCAAGAUGACCUCCCAUGCUGCGAUGAAAGCAUAUGUCUAUGAUACUGUACUAUAUGGUACCACACUUCCUGUCUUUAUGCCCCAAAUGGAAGCAUUACUAAAGGAGCCUUUACAGGAAACUAAUGUACUACAGUUAAUAUUGAUCUUCUAAAUACAUGAAAUGGGCAUAACAAUACAAGCUAAAGCAGGAGGUUUCAGCAAAUACAGCAGAGGAUAGCAUGUACGAGUAUCUAGCGGGAUUAGCAUCUUGAAAACUGACUUUGUAAUGGGUAGGAAAUGAAAACUAAGAGGUCCCUCACUAAGAGCAUCAAAUUGACUGUUUUAAUUGAUGUAUAUAAUUAUUGCAUCCUUCUGUGAAUCAAUUUUGUUACGAUCAGUUUAGAGCCUUCACAACACUAAGAUGGUCUUGUUAAAUUAAUUCAUACAGCAAAAUACUACACUGUUCCACAUUAUCACAGGAAGCAUCAGUUCAGCACAGCUACAUUUGGUAGCAAGGUUGCAGCUGAUAAAAAGCCUCCUACUCCAAGCAGUGUAAUAAGCGUACUAAACUAAAACAUAACGAUGGGAACACAAAGAUCUCUUGAGAUUCUUUGAAAAAGAACACACAAUAAGCAGUUAGUUACAAACAGUGACAAAACAAGUUUUUCUGUAUUUUAAUUACUUGGCAUUUAUUAAAAAAUGUAUUGCUCUCCAAAAUUGUUAGUACAGUUCCUUUUUGAAUUAUAUACAGAUAGGAACUUGAUACUUCUGGAGCAUAGAAAAUAGGAUGAUAACUGCUAAAUAUGAGGAAUAAAUAGUGGGUGUAGUUGCCACAAUUCACGAAUUGCACAAGUCCUCAUGCAAUCAUUAGUGAAUACAUUUUAUGAUGGGCCUGACAACUAUCAUCAGCCUCACUUCAGAAAUCUGAAAACUGAUGAAUUACCUACCCAAGAUCACAUAUCAAAUAGCAGCGGGUUUUGUGUUUUUUUUUAUUCCCUUCCACAGAAUUCUUAAUAUUCGAGGUCAUAAUCCCCUUCAUACCUUCCUGUAGGACUGCACAAACCAGUACCUAAUCAGAAAAACAUACUUAUUUCUUACACUAAUAUCCACUGCUUGUGUACAGAGUUCAUAUUUAGCUUACUAAUUUCAGAUUUAUGCAGAAAUUAAGCACAUCCUUCAUAUUUUCAUUUUUAAAUACAUUUACUAGUAUCUACUUUAGGUAACUGGUAUAAUAGAUUAUGGUCCAAAAUAUAUUUUAACUUGUAAAAGAGAGCCAAACAGCAUGACUGUAGAAUAUCCUGAUCUUGCAGAUACAAAUUCUAAUAAAUUUAUUCAUAAUAAUAUUGCAUGUGUUUGUAUAAUCUGGGAUAUUGACCACACAUUCAUUAACAUACUCUUACUUUCACCAAUUAGCAAGUUAAAUAAGCUGUUUAGAUGCACAAGUGUUAUUUUUCUGUGACUGCAUGAAGGAUGCAGGUUUAAGCUCAUUGACUGUUGCCCAGAACAGUUGAGCCAUUCACCCCUUUAUUUUAAGAUAAUAUUUUUUCCAUCAACAAUUCCAUCCAAUUUUCCCAUCCAAGGCCCUCUGUGUUAAGGGUUGCACCAACAUUACAAUAGGUAGAUGCAUUUCAAGAUUACAACUACACAACAGAAUAUUCUAAUGUAGGCAUUUCCACUGGGUAUCUGCCAGAGAUUAGGAAAUCCAGUAAGGGUAUCUAUCCACAGACAUUAAAAACUGCUACACCUCCAGUAGGCUACCAUGUGACAUGAGAAUUAAAGUGUGAAACGCUUAACCAUAAACACAGUUUUCGUAUUUUGAAUAAUUAAAUUAAAAGAAAAUUAGAAGUUUAAAUGUGCCUUCUUUACACUAAUAUACUACUUAAUCUGUUAACUUUCGCCAUUUUGUUUGGCAUGGGCACUCAUGACAACCUGGAGCGGCCACUCUGGCCUUGUUUACUGAUGACAUCGCAUAAAUAAGGCACAACUAGGCCUUUUUUUCCCACUGAAACAACCUUAUUUCUAGUAAACCACAUACCCAUAUGCUUCAGAAACUUUAAUCUGAAGUUCAUCAGUGCAUUUACUGAUUGCAGUAAGGAAAAAAAAAAAGUUUUCUCCUCAUUGCUCCUACCGCGACACUCAACAUCCACACCUGCUGUAUUUGUGAGGAUACCCACUAGCUGUGUGCAGCACCACUCAGCUCAUGUCAUCCCCAACUCCGAGAGUAGGUAACACUCUUGAGGCGCCAGGCAGACACACUGCUGUCCCACCCAAACACCCGCCUGGUGACGCAUGGGAGGCGCCUGCACCUCACGUCACCCAUGCACAGGACAGAAUGCAGUCAGACAACUGCCCGGUGUUGCCCAGCUCUCUCUGCCUUCAGGACUCAGCGGAGUGCCCCAGCCGUGCCCUGCCCCACGCCAGACCUACCUGUAACCGCCACCGCCGCCGCCGCUGCCGCACGGACCCCUCCACACGUGGGGGGGCGGAGGAAGACACCGCCCCGCGCCCAGCGCCCCACCUGCUGCCACCUCUGCGC
This is a long non-coding RNA of Strigops habroptila (Kakapo), 2797 nucleotides long. The record is from Ensembl. NCBI's taxonomy places the organism in Eukaryota, Metazoa, Chordata, Aves, Psittaciformes, Psittacidae.